GCAGUAUGUAGAGACAUUGCAGGUGUGGCUGCUGUGCUACAUGUGCGCCAGUAGGUGGCAGACAGGAGACAGGCUAUGUCUACAUUCAAGCAUUCUGGCCUGUGAAGGUCUGAAUGCUUAGUAGCCUAACAUU
This is a small nucleolar RNA of Rattus norvegicus (Norway rat), 133 nucleotides long. Ensembl annotates it as small nucleolar RNA SNORA17. Lineage: Eukaryota; Metazoa; Chordata; Mammalia; Rodentia; Muridae. The record is from Ensembl.